RNAcentral lists this ribosomal RNA (847 nucleotides) under uncultured Bacillota bacterium. RNAcentral describes it as "bacterial SSU rRNA". It matches the Rfam family "Bacterial small subunit ribosomal RNA", at positions 74 to 896 of the family's 1533-position model. The record is from RNAcentral. Lineage: Bacteria; Bacillati; Bacillota.
UUCCCUUCGGGGAGCGAGUAGAGUGGCGCACGGGUGAGUAACACGUAGGUAAUCUACCUUUGGAUUGGGAAUAACAACCGGAAACGGUUGCUAAUACCGAAUAAUGCAGCGGCACCUAAUGGUGACAGUUGUUAAAGCGGGGGAUCGCAAGACCUCGCGUCUGAAGAGGAGCCUGCGGCAGAUUAGCUAGUUGGUAAGGUAACGGCUUACCAAGGCGAUGAUCUGUAGCCGGCCUGAGAGGGCGGUCGGCCACACUGACACUGACAUACGGGUCAGACUCCUACGGGAGGCAGCAGUCGGGAAUUUUGGGCAAUGGGCGCAAGCCUGACCCAGCAACGCCGCGUGAAGGAUGAAAUCCCUCGGGAUGUAAACUUCGCAAGAACGGGAAGAAUAAGUAAGGGUUAAUAUCUCUUACGAUGACGGUACUGUUUGUAAGCUCCGGCUAACUCCGUGCCAGCAGCCGCGGUAAUACGGGGGGAGCAAGCGUUGUUCGGAUUUACUGGGCGUAAAGGGCGCGUAGGCGGCCUCUGCAAGUCGACUGUGAAAUCUCCGGGCUUAACCCGGAAAGGUCAGCCGAUACUGCAGGGCUAGAGUGCAGAAGGGGCAACUGGAAUUCUCGGUGUAGCGGUGAAAUGCGUAGAUAUCGAGAGGAACACCUGCGGCGAAGGCGGGUUGCUGGGCUGACACUGACGCUGAGGCGCGAAAGCUAGGGGAGCGAACGGGAUUAGAUACCCCGGUAGUCCUAGCCUUAAACGAUGAAUGCUUGGUGUCUGGGGGUUUUAUAGUCCCCGGGUGCCGUCGCUAACGCUUUAAGCAUUCCGCCUGGGGGAGUACGGUCGCAAGACUG